UACGGAGGAUGCGAGCGUUAUCCGGAUUUAUUGGGUUUAAAGGGUGCGUAGGCGGCCUUUUAAGUCAGCGGUGAAAGUCUGUGGCUCAACCAUAGAAUUGCCGUUGAAACUGGGAGGCUUGAGUAUGUUUGAGGCAGGCGGAAUGCGUGGUGUAGCGGUGAAAUGCUUAGAUAUCACGCAGAACCCCGAUUGCGAAGGCAGCCUGCCAAGCCAUGACUGACGCUGAUGCACGAAAGCGUGGGGAUCAAACAGG
Molecule: ribosomal RNA, 253 nt
Filed under: uncultured bacterium
Lineage: Bacteria
Description: partial 16S ribosomal RNA
Rfam family: Bacterial small subunit ribosomal RNA
Source: RNAcentral